This 204-nucleotide ribosomal RNA is filed under the name uncultured bacterium. RNAcentral describes it as "partial 16S ribosomal RNA". It matches the Rfam family "Bacterial small subunit ribosomal RNA", at positions 524 to 725 of the family's 1533-position model. The record is from RNAcentral.
UACGGGGGGGGGCAAGCGUUGUUCGGAAUUACUGGGCGUAAAGGGCUCGUAGGCGGCCAACUAAGUCGGAUGUGAAAUCCCCAGGCUUAACCUGGGAACUGCAUCCGAUACUGGAUGGCUUGAAUCCGGGAGAGGGAUGCGGAAUUCCAGGGUGUAGCGGUGAAAUGCGUAGAUAUCUGGAGGAACACCGGUGGCGAAGGCGGC